GCCCCCGUAGCUCAGCUGGAUAGAGCACCGGACUUCUAAUCCGACGGUCGCAGGUUCGAAUCCUGCCGGGGGUG
Molecule: transfer RNA, 74 nt
Filed under: bacterium
Lineage: Bacteria
Also listed under: 5 other names
Description: tRNA-Arg
Rfam family: tRNA
About the family: Transfer RNA (tRNA) molecules are approximately 80 nucleotides in length.
Source: RNAcentral